GUCUCUCCGUCUUCUCUCCAACUUACUCAACGGGUCUAUCCCGGAUUUCUUAACCAAUCUCACCGAGUUAACUCGUCUAGAAAUCGCUGCCAACAAUUUCGGCCCAAGCCCACUUCCGGCCGACAUAGGCCGCCUCACCAAACUCGAAAAUCUCUGGUUUCCAUUUUCAAAUAUAAUUGGUUCAAUCCCAGACUCAAUUGGAAACCUCAAAUCUCUUAAAAACCUCGACCUCUCCGUCAACAACCUCACUGGAAAGAUCCCAGAAAGUAUCGGAGGACUAAUUGCUGUCGAACAGAUAGAGCUCUAUUCAAACCAACUCUCCGGUGAAAUUCCAGAUACAUUUUCGAACCUGACUUCUUAUAUAAUUUCGAUGCUUCAUCGAACAAUCUCACCGGAAGAAUACCAGAAAGUCUAACCGGUUUAGCUCUGCAAUCCUUCAAUCUCAAUGACAACAAUUUGGAAGGCCAAAUCCCAGAAAAUUUAGCUCUAAAUCCUUAUCUUUAUCAGCUCAAGCUCUUUAAUAACAGAUUAUCCGGCAAUUUACCGGUUAAUUUGGGAAGGAAUUCAGGCUUGGAAGAUUUUGAUGUAUCUGGGAAUUUUCUAGAAGGGCCUUUGCCUCCAAAUCUUUGUUUCAAGAAGCAGCUAGACAGAUUAGUUUUGUUUAACAAUAACUUUUCUGGUCCAAUCCCUGAGUCGUAUGGUGAGUGCAGUUCGUUAACGUACGUCCGGAUUUCAGUAAUGAGCUGUCUGGAGUUGUACCUCCUAGUUUCUGGAGUUUUCCUGGGCUUACGAUUUUUGAACUCCGAAACAAUAGACUAGAGGGUGAAAUUCCUCCUACGGUUUCAAAUGCCCGUAAUCUAACAGGAUUUUUGAUAUCGGGCAACAGCUUUUCUGGCAGUUGCCGGAGGGAAUAUGCGAGUUGGAACAGCUUCAAAUUAUAGACAUUAGCAGCAACCGGUUCUCAGGCAAACUGCCCUCGUGCAUACCAAAUUGAACAAGUUACUCAAGCUUGAUGUCCAAGAAAACUCAAUCACAGGUGAAAUCCCGACCUCUGUUACCACUUGGACUGAUUUAACAGAAUUGAACUUAUCUGGCAAUCAAUUUUCUGGUACAAUUCCAGCUGAGCUCGGGGAGUUGCCUGAUUUGACAUACUUAGAUCUUUCCGAGAAUUUACUUUCUGGUGAGAUUCCUCGGAUUUGUCAAAACUCAAGCUCAAUAUGUUCAAUUUAUCAAAUAAUAGGCUUCAGGGCAGAGUACCUAGUGCAUUCGACAAUGAAAUUUUCAUUUCAAGCUUAGUGGGCAAUUCGGAUUUGUGCAGUCCUGAUCUUAAACCUCUCCCUUCAUGCCAGAAAAGAAGACCCAUAAGCUUGGUUUUGGUGGGAAUUUUAUCAGCCUUGUCAGGAAUACUCGUCGUAUCAUUUCUAUGGCUAUUGAUCAAGUCAAAGAAGCUAAAUUUAUUUGCAGGUCGGGGCAAAAAAUCAUGGAAAAUGACUGCAUUUCAGCGACUGUGGUUCAACGAGGAAGAUAUUGUUGCCUUUCUGAGUCAAGAUAAUCUCAUUGCAACAGGCGGGUCGGGCCAAGUUUAUCGUGUCAUGUUGAAGAACGGGCCGACAGUCGCAGUCAAGAGACUCUGGGAUGCUAACGUGGACCAGAAUCUGAAGAGGUGUUCCAAUCAGAGGUGGAGACUUUGGGCAGAAUCAAGCAUGGUUGCAUAGUGAAGUUGUUGUUCAGUUGCUCUGGAGACAACUUUAGGAUAUUAGUGUACGAUUACAUGGAGAAUGGGAGCUUGGGGAUGUACUACACGGAGAGAAAGGUGGGGUAUUGUUGGAUUGGCAUACGAGGUUCAAGAUUGCAAUUGGGGCUGCUCAAGGACUGGCCUAUUUGCACCAUGAUUGCGUACCCGCAAUUGUUCAUAGGGAUGUGAAGUCUAACAACAUUAUUGUUGGAUGAGGAAUUCAGGCCAAAGGUCGCUGAUUUUGGUUUGGCAAAAACUCUGCAUAAAAAUAUGGAGGAGGGCGGCCAACUCAUGUCUCAGAUUGCUGGCUCCUACGGCUAUAUUGCUCCAGAAUAUGCAUACACUCUGAAGAUCACAGAGAAGAGUGAUGUAUACAGCUUUGGUGUGGUUCUGUUGGAACUGAUUACUGGUAAACGGCCAAUCGAUCCCUCUUUUGGGAGAAUAAAGAUAUCGUACAGUGGGUAAUGGAGGUGGCAUUGUCAUCUGCAGAACAACCAAUAGCCAACGAUAGUGCCAAAAUUUGUGCUGACUAUUUGGAUCACCUUGUAGAUGCAAGGUUGAAACCAUCAACAUCUGAGCUUGAAGAGAUUAGGGUGGUCUUAGACGUCGCCCUUCAGUGCGUUUCAUCUCUUCCAAUGAACAGGCCCUCCAUGAGAAGAGUGGUAGAAUUGCUCAAAGACAAAUCCAGGGCCCGUUCUUAGUAAUGUAGUAUAUAGCACAUACAGUGUUGGUGUAUCACUAAAAAGGAAAAAAAAAAAAAAAAAGAAGAAGAAGAAUCAUUGCGGUUUUGAAUCUGGCCUCGGUAUUGUUCUAGAAUGUAUAGACUGUGCCAAUACCAACUGGAUAGCACUAAGCAGAUGCUUGACAAUGUCUAAAAAGUCCUAGAAACUAUUCAGUAGCAAGUGCUAAAAGUUGACUAGCUCUACUUCUGUACGCUGUGAAUUAGAAAGGUAGAUAGAAGCACUGAAAAUUGUAAUACUAGAAGAUUCAGUACCAGAGUUGGAUUGCUGUAAAAUCUCUACUCUUUUGAUCGAGACAAAUGCAUGUAGUAGUGCUAAAGCUGGGUAUUUGUUCCACUCGCA
Molecule: non-coding RNA, 2817 nt
Organism: Coffea arabica (coffee)
Lineage: Eukaryota; Viridiplantae; Streptophyta; Magnoliopsida; Gentianales; Rubiaceae
Source: RefSeq, a predicted model, not a curated record